CAGGUUGUAAGGCAACAAAAUAUGAAAAAUGCCAAGUGGGGUGAAUACUUUCGCAAGCCACUGUACCAUUGCUAAGGGCUGUGUAUUACCUAAGAACAAGAAGGGAGCAGCUGUGGACCAGAAAACUGCAGCACUGGUCCACACCUGCCCUGUCUGUCAGAUUGAUUACUAACUUCCUGCACUUUGAGAGCAAGCAUCCCAAGUCUCCAAUGGUCCCAGUACUGGUUGAUGUUCAAGCAGCACCUUGAGAGCAAGCAUCCCACGUCUCCAAUGGUCCCAGUACUGGUUGAUGGACCCAUGGCUGGGACAAACGAUUACCAUGAUUUGAAUGCUGCAAAUGAGACGGAAUGACUUUGAGGGACACACGCUGAGAAUCCGAGUAUGACUGGGCAUGGGCCGGAUAUUUGUGACAACAACUGGUGUAAAUUAUUUUUGAGGUAUCUGUACUUUAAUUUACUCUUUAUAUUUUUUGACAACUUUUACUUUUACUCCAUUACAUUCCUUAUUGGGUUAUUUGUGCUGGUCUAAUUCCUAACAUGGAAAAGCAUAAGAAUCUGCGCUAUUCACUGGUGCAAAGUACUUGUGUAAAAAUAGUACUAAAGUACUACUUAAGUUAUUUUGGGGGGUAUCUGUACUUUACUAUUUAUAUUUUUGACUACUUUUACUUUAACUUCACUACUGUCAUGACUGUCCUGUGAGGAUCCAAAUAGGUCAGAUCAGCUUGGCAAUAAAUGCCUUCAGCCAGACCCCCUCUCACCCGCAGAGGGGGUAGAAGGUAGCUGGUGGGGGGUUGACAGUUCACACCCUGUUGUAACUCAAGGAUUAGAACAUUCAGAGAACAUCUCUCUCCAAUGUUCACACAGGAAUGUGUAUAGACAUGUACGCAUACAUUUUCCCACCAAAACUCUUAACAUGUUCUAAAGCGAAUACUGGAACAAUAUUUCUAACAUAGAAUGUGGGGAAUGAGCAGAGGUGACCUAAAAGAACACUAAUGUAAUAUGGGUUGUUAUUUUGAGAUGUCAUUAAAAAUGUUAUAAAGGAAAUACUGUAACUUGAAAAGUAUACACACUAUAUGACAUUGUGCAUGAAAUAUGAAACAUGAUGAAAGUGUUUUUGUUACGAGAAAGCUGUGAUCUUAGAAACUAGAGGAAAUUAUUUCUAUAACUUUGUACAAGUGAGUAGUCACCACCCCCUUGAAAUCUCAACACGAGGUAGAGACGAUAACGUCAACUCCCAGACAAUCACUGGUAUGGCUGAUAAGCUGUCCUAAGUAAAGUAUCUAGGAAAGUGAAUUUAAGUGGGACCAUUCUAUUACUCUGCCAAAUCACCGUAGUACGCUACUCUCAUCACCCCACUGAGAACCAUCGACACGGCUGGCUAGCCUAUCUUCAAAGAGGCAGCUUGAGGAGUGAAUCGGAGUAGAAUAAACUCUGUAGUUCUGUUCAGGACUACAUGACAAGUCAACCGAUACCGGGUGACGGCAGAGGAGGACAACAGUAGAAGAUGGGUGGGGACCCCUUUUGGACAAUCAGAGCAAAAGGGGACCCCUUUUGGGCAAACAGAGCCUUUCCGCGUGACGCAGAAGGGCCCAACCAAAUCCCUUUCCAAGAAGGCUUGAUUCCGACAGAGAUACACGGCUAGCCAAGACAUUUACACAUAACAUGAAUGAUUUAUUACUCCAAAAGGGUGAGGUUUCUAUAUGAUUACUGUGAGAGUAGUUUCUAAAAGUAUUAUGUCUCUGUCCCUUUCUCUCUCUCUCUCUCUCUCGCCCUCUCCAUGUCUGUUGUAAUAAUCUGCUAUAUUGUGUCAGUCUGUUAGGGACAUGUUUUAAUGUAUUAAGUGUGUAUGUUUAUCCUGUGUUACCAUUUUGUUAGUAAAUAAAUAAUUAAACCAA
Long non-coding RNA from Oncorhynchus kisutch (coho salmon), 1894 nucleotides. RefSeq lists it as uncharacterized. The transcript is spliced from 3 exons. The record is from RefSeq and is a predicted model, not a curated record. NCBI's taxonomy places the organism in Eukaryota, Metazoa, Chordata, Actinopteri, Salmoniformes, Salmonidae.